GACGAACGCUGGCGGCGUGCCUAAUACAUGCAAGUUGAGCGCUGAAGGUUGGUACUUGUACCAACUGGAUGAGCAGCGAACGGGUGAGUAACGCGUGGGGAAUCUGCCUUUGAGCGGGGGACAACAUUUGGAAACGAAUGCUAAUACCGCAUAAAAACUUUAAACACAAGUUUUAAGUUUGAAAGAUGCAAUUGCAUCACUCAAAGAUGAUCCCGCGUUGUAUUAGCUAGUUGGUGAGGUAAAGGCUCACCAAGGCGAUGAUACAUAGCCGACCUGAGAGGGUGAUCGGCCACAUUGGGACUGAGACACGGCCCAAACUCCUACGGGAGGCAGCAGUAGGGAAUCUUCGGCAAUGGACGAAAGUCUGACCGAGCAACGCCGCGUGAGUGAAGAAGGUUUUCGGAUCGUAAAACUCUGUUGGUAGAGAAGAACGUUGGUGAGAGUGGAAAGCUCAUCAAGUGACGGUAACUACCCAGAAAGGUACGGCUAACUACGUG
This 497-nucleotide ribosomal RNA is filed under the name uncultured bacterium. RNAcentral describes it as "partial 16S ribosomal RNA". It matches the Rfam family "Bacterial small subunit ribosomal RNA", at positions 28 to 507 of the family's 1533-position model. The record is from RNAcentral.